CAGUAGCCGCGGGAAUACGAAGGGUGCAAGCGUUAAUCGGAAUUACUGGGCGUAAAGCGUACGCAGGCGGUUUGUUAAGUCAGAUGUGAAAUCCCCGGGCUUAACCCGGGAACUGCAUUUGAAACUGGCAGGCUAGAGUCUCGUAGAGGGGGGUAGAAUUCCAGGUGUAGCGGUGAAAUGCGUAGAGAUCUGGAGGAAUACCGGUGGCGAAGGCGGCCCCCUGGACGAAGACUGACGCUCAGGUACGAAAGCGUGGGGAGCAAACAGGAUUAGAUACCCGAGUAGUCCCUGUCUCUUAUAA
RNAcentral lists this ribosomal RNA (301 nucleotides) under uncultured bacterium. RNAcentral's name for it is "partial 16S ribosomal RNA". It matches the Rfam family "Bacterial small subunit ribosomal RNA", at positions 509 to 809 of the family's 1533-position model. The record is from RNAcentral.